GGCAAGUUUAAAUGUGCCAUAUUAAUAACGUGUUUUCCAAGACAAAUUAAGUCCUUAUGUGUCAAAAGCACUCGGCACUGGAUUAUCUACAAGACAAGUAUUUAUUGAAUAAAUGUUCAGUCCAAUUUCAUUUUAAUGUGACUGACUGUAUGUUUCAGCCUCUUAGGCAGAGAUAAAAACACUCAGACCUAUAACUGUGUUGCAACAUUACACCUAACUUGUCUAUUUCUAUUAUUGUCUCCUAACUUAGAAUAUGGAAAGAAGGCUUUUUUUUUUUUUUUUUUUUUUUUUGGUUGUUGUUCUGAAGAGCAGGGAGAGAGAUAGAAAAACGGCUGGCAUUCAGCCUAAAGAGAAAUCAUUGAAACAAAUUAAUCCUAUGCCGUUUAAAUUGACAUGGUAAUCCAUCAUCAGAGAAGGCAAACUCUGAAAGCAAUCUAGAAUCUGCCCUCUGUUCUUUCACUGGCCCUGGAGGCACAAAGACAGAUAGUAAAGGAGGGGAGGGGGGAAAGUAUCAUAAAAGUUAGGAAUGACUUUAGAAAAUAAUAAAAUUUAUUAUAUCAGCCCUCACAGUCCAGCCUCUGAACUGGCUGAAAGGAGAGGUGAACUUUCACCAGUUGCUUUCAAAGUUUACCUCGAAGUGGUAGAAUAGUUUGCUUCCUCCUCUAGGCUGCCAGGCUGCUGACCACUGCCUGCCGAGUUUAAAAAGUAGACCAACUGGGAGCUCUGGCAGGACCCACACUUACAGAAACUUUCCCUCCAGUGCUGUGUCGAACCUCCAGGUUUGCUCCCAGUAGCCAGCGAGGCUCCCGCUUCCAGAAAAACCAUUUUCACGCCAGGACUUCUGCUGCUUGAGUUUGGGGAGAAGGUUUCCUCUCCCUCCCAGCAAACUCCCCCCAAAGCCUUGCUAACUUCAGCGAGCCCUGCGAGCCUUCGCUCCUCCGCCGCUGGAGACUCCUGCACGCAGCCCUGGGGCCACACACCGUUUCCCACCGCCGCAGCGUGGCUUGAAACCCCCAAAGCCAAUUUCCCAGCCCUGGAGCGAACGCAGGCGUCCUGGGGGCUUCGUUGGUGCGUGUCACCCUGCCCCAGACUUCCUCCCACCUGCCCAGGAGCCUCGAACCUGGAAUCCACUGGCCCUGUGGUCCGCAACGGGUUCCGCCACCCGGCGGCCGCCCUAGA
Molecule: long non-coding RNA, 1179 nt
Filed under: Suricata suricatta (meerkat)
Lineage: Eukaryota; Metazoa; Chordata; Mammalia; Carnivora; Herpestidae
Description: lncRNA (ENSSSUG00005005096.1)
Source: RNAcentral